This 503-nucleotide ribosomal RNA is filed under the name Veillonella dispar. RNAcentral's name for it is "bacterial SSU rRNA". It matches the Rfam family "Bacterial small subunit ribosomal RNA", at positions 28 to 500 of the family's 1533-position model. The record is from RNAcentral. Lineage: Bacteria; Bacillati; Bacillota; Negativicutes; Veillonellales; Veillonellaceae.
GACGAACGCUGGCGGCGUGCUUAACACAUGCAAGUCGAACGAAGAGCGAUGGAAGCUUGCUUCUAUCAAUCUUAGUGGCGAACGGGUGAGUAACGCGUAAUCAACCUGCCCUUCAGAGGGGGACAACAGUUGGAAACGACUGCUAAUACCGCAUACGAUCUAACCUUGGCAUCGAGGAUGGAUGAAAGGUGGCCUCUAUUUAUAAGCUAUCACUGAAGGAGGGGAUUGCGUCUGAUUAGCUAGUUGGAGGGGUAACGGCCCACCAAGGCGAUGAUCAGUAGCCGGUCUGAGAGGAUGAACGGCCACAUUGGGACUGAGACACGGCCCAGACUCCUACGGGAGGCAGCAGUGGGGAAUCUUCCGCAAUGGACGAAAGUCUGACGGAGCAACGCCGCGUGAGUGAUGACGGCCUUCGGGUUGUAAAGCUCUGUUAAUCGGGACGAAAGGCCUUCUUGCGAAUAGUGAGAAGGAUUGACGGUACCGGAAUAGAAAGCCACGGCUAA